AACGAACGCUGGCGGCAUGCCUAACACAUGCAAGUCGAACGAGACCUUCGGGUCUAGUGGCGCACGGGUGCGUAACGCGUGGGAACCUGCCCUUAGGUUCGGAAUAACUCAGAGAAAUUUGAGCUAAUACCGGAUAAUGUCUUCGGACCAAAGAUUUAUCGCCUUUGGAUGGGCCCGCGUAGGAUUAGCUUGUUGGUGGGGUAAUGGCCUACCAAGGCGACGAUCCUUAGCUGGUCUGAGAGGAUGAUCAGCCACACUGGGACUGAGACACGGCCCAGACUCCUACGGGAGGCAGCAGUGGGGAAUAUUGGACAAUGGGCGAAAGCCUGAGCCAGCAAUGCCGCGUGAGUGAUGAAGGCCUUAGGGUUGUAAAGCUCUUUUAACAGGGAUGAUAAUGACAGUACCUGGAGAAUAAGCUCCGGCUAACUCCGUG
RNAcentral lists this ribosomal RNA (433 nucleotides) under uncultured bacterium. RNAcentral describes it as "partial 16S ribosomal RNA". It matches the Rfam family "Bacterial small subunit ribosomal RNA", at positions 29 to 507 of the family's 1533-position model. The record is from RNAcentral.